CAAGAGUUCCAGUUGACAGACCAGGGGUGGACCUUCAGGAUAGUGCCUAACUUGAGUGGAUCAAUCAACUUUUCUCACACAGGAAGAUGGAACUGGAACUCAGACAUGAUGGUCAUAACUUAAGAUAAUGCACGGAACAGAGAGGAGAGAACUGGCAGAGUAGCAAGAAAAGUUCAUUCUUGUGAUAAUUCCAGCCCUGUGCCAGUUGAGCCCUUCAGGAAAUAUGGCUACCACCCUGCCUGGGCCUCCCUGGAAUCACCCAUAAAUCCUCUAACAACCCCCUCCCCCCAUUUGGCUUAAGCUGCUCUAGUAGCUUUAUGCUACUGUGACAAAAGAGGCCUAACCCGUGCACAAUGGCAGUGUGUGAAACAAAACAUGCAUUCACCUCCUCAGGCACAGGUACUUUGUGAGGGUGUUUGAACUAGGCUCUUUGUAACUCCAUGUGGUCCCAGUGGAGAUUCAAGAGAAUCUGUAUUUCCUGGAGUCCACUUGGAGAAACUGCAGUUUUUAAUUCAAUUGUGAUUUCCCUUCCUCCUUCCUUUCCUUCCUUUUUCCUUCCUUUCCUUCCCCUUCCUUCUUUCCUACUUCCUUCCUUCCUUCCCUCCUUCCUUCACUUUCCUUUUCCUUCCUUCCUUUUAUUGUAUCAUAUCCCAGCCCUUUUUAUUUUGAGACAGAGUCUAAGUUGUUGAGGCUAGCCUCAAACUUGCUGAGGCCCCAGCCUCAGCCUCCUGAGUCACUGCAAUGUAUCACAGUAUCUGGCUAGUUUUUAAGAUUAAAUUCUUUAAUUUCUUGCCUAGAUGGAAGUGAUAUCGCUAUCAACCUAGGGGUCUGGGAGGUCGGUUUUGAAGGCAUUUUGUCUGGGAGGUGGAUAGGUGUCUUAGUCUGU
Molecule: long non-coding RNA, 886 nt
Filed under: Marmota monax (woodchuck)
Lineage: Eukaryota; Metazoa; Chordata; Mammalia; Rodentia; Sciuridae
Source: RNAcentral